Molecule: ribosomal RNA, 557 nt
Filed under: uncultured bacterium
Lineage: Bacteria
Description: bacterial SSU rRNA
Rfam family: Bacterial small subunit ribosomal RNA
Source: RNAcentral
AACGCGUGGGAAUCUGCCCUUGGGUACGGAAUAACUCAGAGAAAUUUGUGCUAAUACCGUAUAAUGUCUUCGGACCAAAGAUUUAUCGCCCAAGGAUGAGCCCGCGUAAGAUUAGCUAGUUGGUGGGGUAAAAGCCUACCAAGGCGACGAUCUUUAGCUGGUCUGAGAGGAUGAUCAGCCACACUGGGACUGAGACACGGCCCAGACUCCUACGGGAGGCAGCAGUGGGGAAUAUUGGACAAUGGGCGAAAGCCUGAUCCAGCAAUGCCGCGUGAGUGAUGAAGGCCUUAGGGUUGUAAAGCUCUUUUACCCGGGAUGAUAAUGACAGUACCGGGAGAAUAAGCUCCGGCUAACUCCGUGCCAGCAGCCGCGGUAAUACGGAGGGAGCUAGCGUUGUUCGGAAUUACUGGGCGUAAAGCGCGCGUAGGCGGUUUUUUAAGUCAGAGGUGAAAGCCCAGUGCUCAACACUGGAACUGCCUUUGAAACUGGAAAACUUGAAUCUUGGAGAGGUCAGUGGAAUUCCGAGUGUAGAGGUGAAAUUCGUAGAUAUUCGGAAG